This 269-nucleotide ribosomal RNA is filed under the name uncultured Pseudomonas sp. RNAcentral's name for it is "partial 16S ribosomal RNA". It matches the Rfam family "Bacterial small subunit ribosomal RNA", at positions 1113 to 1382 of the family's 1533-position model. Lineage: Bacteria; Pseudomonadati; Pseudomonadota; Gammaproteobacteria; Pseudomonadales; Pseudomonadaceae. RNAcentral also lists the same sequence under 1 other name. The record is from RNAcentral.
AGUUACCAGCACGUUAUGGUGGGCACUCUAAGGAGACUGCCGGUGACAACCGGAGGAAGGUGGGGAUGACGUCAAGUCAUCAUGGCCCUUACGGCCUGGGCUACACACGUGCUACAAUGGUCGGUACAAAGGGUUGCCAAGCCGCGAGGUGGAGCUAAUCCCAUAAAACCGAUCGUAGUCCGGAUCGCAGUCUGCAACUCGACUGCGUGAAGUCGGAAUCGCUAGUAAUCGUGAAUCAGAAUGUCACGGUGAAUACGUUCCCGGGCCUU